CAACCCUUGACAUGCCAGGACGACUCCCAGAGAUGGGUUUCUUCCAGCAAUGGACCUGGACACAGGUGCUGCAUGGCUGUCGUCAGCUCGUGUCGUGAGAUGUUGGGUUAAGUCCCGCAACGAGCGCAACCCUCAUCUUCAGUUGCCAUCAGUUCGGCUGGGCACUCUGAAGAAACUGCCGGUGAUAAGCCGGAGGAAGGUGGGGAUGACGUCAAGUCCUCAUGGCCCUUACAGCCUGGGCUACACACGUGUUACAAUGGCACUGACAAUGCGCUGCUAGCCCGCAAGGGUAUGCCAAUCGCAAAAAGGUGCCUCAGUUCGGAUUGUACUCUGCAACUCGAGUACAUGAAGCUGGAAUCGCUAGUAAUCGCGCAUCAUCGCGGCGCGGUGAAUA
Molecule: ribosomal RNA, 394 nt
Filed under: uncultured bacterium
Lineage: Bacteria
Description: bacterial SSU rRNA
Rfam family: Bacterial small subunit ribosomal RNA
Source: RNAcentral